ACGCUCGACACCUACGGUAGGCAGCAGUCGGGAAUAUUGCGCAAUGGAGGGAACUCUGACGCAGUGACGCCGCGUAUAGGAAGAAGGUUUUCGGAUUGUAAACUAUUGUCGUUAGGGAAGAGAAAGGACAGUACCUAAGGAGGAAGCUCCGGCUAACUACGUGCCAGCAGCCGCGGUAAUCUGAGCGGGCUGGCAAGGC
RNAcentral lists this ribosomal RNA (199 nucleotides) under uncultured bacterium. RNAcentral describes it as "partial 16S ribosomal RNA". It matches the Rfam family "Bacterial small subunit ribosomal RNA", at positions 326 to 539 of the family's 1533-position model. The record is from RNAcentral.